This is a long non-coding RNA of Lontra canadensis (Northern American river otter), 436 nucleotides long. RefSeq lists it as uncharacterized. The transcript is spliced from 3 exons. The record is from RefSeq and is a predicted model, not a curated record. NCBI's taxonomy places the organism in Eukaryota, Metazoa, Chordata, Mammalia, Carnivora, Mustelidae.
UGCUUACUUUUCCCCUGGAAUACAUGAUGAAUUUUUAUGGAGGAUGGUGGAGGAGGGGAAGAACCACAUUCAAAUGAAACCCAACAUCCCUUUCCUUCUACAGUGUCAUUUCAAAAGCCAGAUAAAAGCCAAAUGAGGAGGCUGGGAAAGAGUGUCCAACGUAGCGGUUCUGAAAACCACCCUCCAUUUCAUUCUGGAGCCGGGAGGUCACACCCAGGCAUCAGAAUAGCUUCUCUCUUCAAAGUAAAUUAACUGUCAAACAGAUCCCGACAGAACCCUCAGGUCUGGUGGUAGAAGACACAAGAAUUUUAAAGGAAUAUUCCCUGCCCUCGAUGGAGAAACUGAGGCUUGGAGCUUCUGACUAACUUCUCAAGGCCACACGGGUAGGUAAUAAGCGGAACUGCGAUUUGAAACCAGGGUCUGCCUGACUCCCAGG